This 397-nucleotide ribosomal RNA is filed under the name uncultured Micrococcus sp. Its description in RNAcentral is "bacterial SSU rRNA". It matches the Rfam family "Bacterial small subunit ribosomal RNA", at positions 958 to 1354 of the family's 1533-position model. The record is from RNAcentral. Lineage: Bacteria; Bacillati; Actinomycetota; Actinomycetes; Micrococcales; Micrococcaceae.
AACGCGAAGAACCUUACCAAGGCUUGACAUGUUCUCGAUCGCCGUAGAGAUACGGUUUCCCCUUUGGGGCGGGUUCACAGGUGGUGCAUGGUUGUCGUCAGCUCGUGCCGUGAGAUGUUGGGUUAAGUCCCGCAACGAGCGCAACCCUCGUUCCAUGUUGCCAGCACGUAAUGGUGGGGACUCAUGGGAGACUGCCGGGGUCAACUCGGAGGAAGGUGAGGACGACGUCAAAUCAUCAUGCCCCUUAUGUCUUGGGCUUCACGCAUGCUACAAUGGCCGGUACAAUGGGUUGCGAUACUGUGAGGUGGAGCUAAUCCCAAAAAGCCGGUCUCAGUUCGGAUUGGGGUCUGCAACUCGACCCCAUGAAGUCGGAGUCGCUAGUAAUCGCAGAUCAGCA